Molecule: non-coding RNA, 87 nt
Organism: Zea mays
Lineage: Eukaryota; Viridiplantae; Streptophyta; Magnoliopsida; Poales; Poaceae
Source: Rfam
GAGGAUGAUGAUAUGGUUUUUGUCGCCCCAGUCUUAGGAUCCGGACUUCCGGACCUUUGCUGAUUGACAUGUUAUCGUUUCUGACUC